This 130-nucleotide ribosomal RNA is filed under the name Sphenopus marsupialis. Its description in RNAcentral is "5.8S ribosomal RNA". It matches the Rfam family "5.8S ribosomal RNA", at positions 8 to 137 of the family's 154-position model. From Rfam's summary of the family: 5.8S ribosomal RNA (5.8S rRNA) is a component of the large subunit of the eukaryotic ribosome. It is transcribed by RNA polymerase I as part of the 45S precursor that also contains 18S and 28S rRNA. Functionally, it is thought that 5.8S rRNA may be involved in ribosome translocation. Lineage: Eukaryota; Metazoa; Cnidaria; Anthozoa; Zoantharia; Sphenopidae. The record is from RNAcentral.
AACGGUGGAUCUCUUGGCUCGUGCAUCGAUGAAGAACGCAGCCAGCUGCGAUAAGUAGUGUGAAUUGCAGAAUUCAGUGAAUCAUCGAAUCUUUGAACGCAAAUGGCGCUCUCGGGUUCUCCCGGGAGCA